This is a long non-coding RNA of Ictalurus punctatus (channel catfish), 6797 nucleotides long. The record is from Ensembl. NCBI's taxonomy places the organism in Eukaryota, Metazoa, Chordata, Actinopteri, Siluriformes, Ictaluridae.
GUUUUCUUAAAGUACGUCUUAAAUUAUGUCACAGACAGAAAAACGCAAAAUGUUUUUUGCACUUUGCCCCGAAUGGAGUUGUAAUGAUAACCAAUGAAAUGAUAUUUCCCUAGACCGCCACAGGAAUAUUAACAGCAUUCAGAUAGUAACGAUGAUGUGUAACGCUGUGUCACACUGCAGCCUCUGCUGAAAGUGCAAAUCUGGAGACAUCACAGAAGCUGGCCGCUGAUUAUGAGUUCGAUUAUUACUUCACCAUUGAGAUCAUGAACCGCAUCUACAACGAUUCCCUCACCGACCCCGAUUCUCCUUAUUAUAAGAUGAUGUACAGUGAAGUUAGCGGCGCAGUGAGUGUUCACUUCAUAUUUGCUUUCACAGACACGUUGUAUACAUUGAACAUCAGGCAUUUAAUACCCCGAUUACGAAAAACUUGGGACAGUAUGGGAACUGCUCAUUAAAAACAGUGAUUUGUAAAUGAACUUUGACUUGUAUUUGAUGUUUUAUCUAAUCAACCGCAUAGUUUUUUUUUUAAGGUAAAUGUUUAUUUUGAAAUUGCAUGCAACACGUUCCAAAAAAGUUGGGACAAGGGAAAUUUAGGACUAAUAGCGAUGUGACGAGUUGAAAUAAGAAGGUGAUGUGAAACAGGUGAGACAAUCAUCUAAUCAUAGUAUAUAAGUAGCCUCCAAAAAAUGUAUUUCAUCAGCAAGGAUGGGUCGAGGUUCGGCAAUCUGCCAACAGAUGCAUCAGAGAAUAAUCCGACACUUUGAGAAGAACAUUUCCCAAAGACAAAUCGGUAGGAUUUCGGGCAUUUCACUUUCUACAGUGCACAAUAUAAUUAAAAGAUUCAAGGAAUCCGGUCAAAUCUCGGUGCGUAAAGGGCGAGGCCGUAAACCACUUCCGAAUGCUGCUGAUCUCCGAUCCCUCAGACGUCACUGUCUUAAAAACCGUCUUGAGUCUGUAUUGGAGAUCCUGACAUGGGCUCGGGAAUACUUUGGUAAACCUUUGUCAGUCAACACCUUUCGCCGCUGCAUCCACAGAUGUAAGUUAAGGCUUUACUAUGCAAAGCAGAAGCCACACAUCAACAUUGUCCAGAAGUGCCGCCGACUUCUAAGGACUCUAUGGUCUGUCAUGGUAUGGGGGUGUGUCAGUGCCCAUGGUGUGGGUGACUUUAUCUAUCAUUAAUGCAGAAAGAUAUGUACACAUUUUGGAGCAAUAUACACUGCCAUCCAGAGCAGGACAACGCCAAACCACAUUCUGCCCGGAUUACAAGCGCAUGGUUGCGUAAGCAGAGAGUGUGGAUGUGAGCAUGGCCUCCCUGCAGUCCUGACCUGUCUCCCAUUGAGAAAAUGUUGCGCAUUAUGAAGUCCCCGUACAGUUGCACAGCUGAAGAAAUACGUAAUGGAUGAACAGGGAAAAUUCCGCUUGCUAAACUUAACCAACUGGUGUCUUCACUCAAAUGCUUAAUAAGUGUUAAAAGAAAAUGAGAUGUUACACAGCGGUAAACAGACGACUGUCCCAACUUUUUUGGAGUGUGUAGCAGUCAUCAGAUUUGAAAUGAGUGUAUAUUUUAAAAAAUAAAUUAAGUUCACAAAGUAUUGGGGUUAUAAAUUCUAACCAUCAAAUAUAUCAGGCAUGCAAAUACAUAUGGUACUCUAAGCUGCUACAUUUAACCUUGAUUUGUUUAUUUUUAAGUUCUACUCUGUCUUUGGCUGCUCCAGCUGUCCCAAUAGUGCAGCUUAUCAUGGUGUGACAUCCAUGAGUUUCAGGUACAAUACUUCAGUACUAAGUGCAGUAAAAGCAGUUAGCUAACAGAUUACGAUAAUCACCUCAUAUUAUUAUUUAUUAUUACAGAAAGGGAUCAGUGAUUGCAGACACCACCAUUGCGUUCAAAGGUACUCUGACCAAUCCCAUUUUGCUCAAAUUCAUUUUUCUGGAUGGCCUCAACAGCAAUAAUGAAAUUAAUGGCCUUCAAAUCAACCCUGAUACCGUACAGGACUCUUAUGUAACAACCACAACACCAACAACCAAGACAACACUGACAACAACAACUACUACCACAUCUCCCACCACAACAAUAACCACCACAACACUGACAACAACCACUACCACUACAACAACCACAAGACCAACAACAACCACCACAAUACCAACAACCACCACAACACCAACAACAACAAUCACUACCACAACCACCACAACACCAACAACCACCACAACACCAACAACAACAGUCACUACCACAACCACAAGACCAACAACCACCACAACACUGACAACAACAACCAUUACCACAACCACAAGACCAACAACCACCACAACACCACCGACAACAACCACAACACCAGCCACACCAACAAAAACCACCACCACAACUACCACACCAAACACAACCACCACAAAACAGAAAACAACCACAGCAACUAGCAAAGAAACCUCCAGGCCUCCAAUUCCCCACCCAACAAUGCAUCCAGAACACAUUUCCUCCAGCACCAGCAAUAAGUCCUCUUCCAACACAACAAGCAGUCAUUCAGUAAGCAGCCCUGAGACCCACACUGGAGUUACAAACCCUUCCUCCACCAACAACAAAGAUAGCAGAACAGAACAUGUUCUCACGAACAGCAGCCCAUCAUCUAACCAGGGUGAAGGAGUCCCUGGCUGGGCGAUCGCUUUACUCGUGCUGGCUGCCAUCGCCAUCCUGCUCCUCAUCAUCAUAAUCAUCAUCCUGCUGCUAAGAUGGUGCUGUGUGGAUAAUGGCGACGACGUUCGUUCUCUGCCACCACAAGAACACACUCCCUACAUGAGAACCACCUUCAGAGAGCCGCUGUCUGUUCCAGCUUACAGCCCUCACACAGCGCAAAAGAACCUUUAUCCUUUCGACGAUCUACCUCAAAGCCCAAAACCUAAACCCAACCGGACAGGGACGUACGAGGUGAACCCAGAGAAAUAAUGAAGUUAAGCGGCAAAGCUGUAACUGAGGUAUGUCACGAACAUGCACAAACUUCACUGUGUUUUCCAAAGUCUUGUUUUUUUUUUUUUUUCUUAGUCUGUAGCUAGCGCUAACUUUUAUACUGCAAAGUCAUUUCUCAUUUUCUACAUUGGACUGAUUGUAAAACAGGCCUGUGGAAGGACAAUGGAAAACUAAGGCUCGGUUAUAAAAAGACAUACACUAUGGGUCAAAAGUUUGUGGACAUUCGACUGAACUAUUUCUCAUGAUCUUAAAAACCUUUUGAUCUGAAGGUGUACGAUUAAAUGUUUGAAAUCGGUAAACUUUUGUCCGGUAGCAUAAUAUUUUUAGAAAUCCUAGUAAUCACACUAGAAGAAAUGAGUAGAAUUCACACAGACAACAGCUAAUUAUGAAGCGAAUUACAGGCGAACACUUUUUACCAGACACCUGUUUUGGGGGUUCCCAUGUUCAGCACUAGAUUUAUUUGCGACGUCACACUCCACAGUAGGUGUUAAUGGCUCAUAUGAAAGCAGACACUCAAAGUAUUUAUUUCCCCCCAGCCUACUAGGUUUAAAUGUUAUAUUUUUAUUGUGGUACCAAUAAAAAAGCUUUAGUUUCUGUCUGUUUUAUCUCUGCACCAGUAUUGUUGUGGAAAGGUGCGAAUUGUUUGCCCAUGAGGAGGCUCACACCCUUCCAAGUUCCCAUCGCCCUGCUCACCAGCAGCCAAACACAGAGUCACGAUACUCUACACACAGAAACCCAACAGUGUCCUGACUAACCUUACAACAGACGUGUGGCGAUAAAAUAAUUUGUUUGUUUAUACUGAUUGAAAAUGUCCGAUAAGUCGAUUUCGAUUCCGGCGGUGCAAUGGCACGCCAGUGUACUGGGAGAAAUGGUUAAUGAGUGCGGAGUGAAACCUGCAGCAAAGGAUUUUGUUCAGGGGUCAGAACAUGAGUUCCAGUGAAUAUAUGAUAUACUUUGUAUACUUCUCUGGGUACAACCUUCAGAAUGCUGGAAGCGGAAAUUUGAUUGGCACUUCACAUUUCUAUGCACUGAUUUCUGCUAAACUUUUGAAGACUGCAGCCCAGCGAGGACACUGCUUUAUUGUAACACGAUGCAUUUACGUUUAUGACAUUUGGCGGACGCCCUUACCCAAAGCGACUUACAUUUGUCUCAUUUAUACAUCUGAGCAGUUGAGGGUUAAGGACCUUGCUCAAGGGCGCAGCAGUGGCAGCUUGGCGGUGCUGGGGUUUCAAUUCAUGACCUUCCAAUUAGUAGACCACUGAGCUACCCAUGAAUAGUCACUGGUUAAAAAUAGGUCACGGAGUUCAUUUCAUCUUUAAAAGUUAUUCAAAGGUUUUGUGUGAAGCACAACAAUGACCAUCCUUUAGUUGGGCAUCUGCUGUGCCAGUCAAAUGUGUGAAAGUUGGCCCCGUUUACUGCAAAAACAUACCAGACUCUGUAGCAACGCUAGUGAUCUGGCUUGGGAGACUACAGAAGCAACUCUAACAGGACAAAAACUAAGCCAGUCUCCUCCGGUAUAAGUCUGUACGCUAUUUUAGAGGCAGGACAAACAUACUGAUGCCUGGUAGAUUAAUAUUACGAAUUCUCUCGUGAAGCUUUCUUCAGCAUCUUGUUAAUCAGUUAGAGCCACCAGUCCAAAACCAUGCCACGUUUCCUCCCUUUAAAACAACAAGCAACGGCGUUAAAAGAAAACAUGAAGCUAUGGUGAUUCCUUUAUGGGGUUGUUUUAUUUUGUGUGUGUGUGUGUGUAUGUAUGUGUGUGUGCGAAAGCUAUUGAAGCCAUUGUAUAUGAAGUCUUUUCACUCUGAGCAAACAUUAAGCUAAGUACCACAGUCAUCACCUUCUCUGCUAUCGUUUGUAUAACACCCAUCCGCUACUGUUCUACAAUCGUUCUUUAAUGCAGACAAACAGGCUGUGGUUGACUCUCGGUCACCUGGGAUUAGAGAGAGUGAUUUUAAUUCUGUACAUCCAUGAUAAAUCGAUCCUUCAGCGCAUGACGUGAGCGCAACAGGUCUGAUUCAGCGCACUUACUGGGAGUGGCUUGCUUUAAACAAAGACCAGUGUACUAAUGUAAAGGCGCUAAACACUAAACACUGGCCCGCUGCAUUUACUCAACUGGGAGCUUUCACCCAAACCCGAUAUAAUUCAGUUUGAGCACAGAGGUGAGCAGUUGAGGCUCGUUAACUUCUAACAGAACAUUUCAAAUCUACCAGGUUUAUAGCUUAUAACAACUAAAAAGUUACAGGUUUACCUCUGACUGUUAAAAAACGCUGACACAGGAGACUCCUUCCAUAAAUAUGAAAUAAACAUCUCUGUACUGAAAAUGUCACCAUAUCGACAAUCACGCUAUAUGUAUUUGUCACUAUAGAAACGAUAACGUAUUAGAAAGAGCGCAUUGAUAUAAACCUGUGAUUAACUGCUGUCCGAGCUGCUGUUAUAGGAAAUUAAUCAACGCCUUAUUAAACAGCCAUCUAAACUGACCCUUAACUCUUUUUGGGACACUUAUAAAGGUCAAUAAAUGACUCGUUUUAUGACGAUUUGGCACAGAAUCUAUGGGAUCAUCAGAUAUUAUCAAUCCAUGACAACCAAAUAUAUACAUAAUGCCGUAAGCUUAUUUAUAUAUCCACCGUGUCUAACGGUCACGCCUUUGGCCGACACAUCCUCACCCUGUUACUCAGUCAGAAUGCAGAAUGUGGUGAGAGAAUAAGCCGGGGAAGGGCUUGUGCAAUCAAAGCUCACUCCUACACGGUUCUUUAUGACUCCGAAUGGCCAAAAUGUCCACAACUGACUCAUUUCACCAUGAGUCGGCACGUGCUGGUGAAAUGCGAGACGCUGGAGAAAACUUCAGCGCUUAUACAGUUGAGAAAAGCUCGAAAAGUAUUAGUGACCUACUGUACGUCGGUCAAAUAUGGGUUCAUUUACGUUUAUUCACGUUUAUCCACGUUUAUCCCAGUGGAUCUUCAUGUGAGCCGAGCUCCAACCCAGUGACAGCUGAGAUGUCGAGGUUUAAAUGAAUCAUUCCGGCAGAAAUCAAAUUUUGCCACAAACCUCAAAUGUAAAUUGAUCAGCCAGGACAUGACUGAAGUUUUUGGUGGGCUUUAAGAUGGCUGCUAGUAUUGCUUACAUAGUUUUGUUUAUUUCCCGACAUAUUAAAAACCAAUUUGAUAUGAUUUGAGUUGAGUUUUUGUACGUAAGGUUUUCAUCAGCCUCGAGACUCCACUGCAGAAUUAAAGAAGCUGAUUUCAGACAGCAAACAUUUCCUGGCUGUCAACGGUCCAACAGCUCUGAGAGUAAAUGCGUAAUUAGCCCAAAACUGAAAGACUACAAAAUAAUGGAUUUUUGGCCCAAUUUCAAGUAAAUGCUUUAUUAAUGGAAUCUUACUUUUGGGCCACUUUUGGCACACAUUACCCCGGACAUUGCCAUAAGCCAUAAUGCACUUAAACUCAACCAAAAUCUGGCAAAGAGUCUGGCAGGUCUGAGAUUUUAACCUUCACUUUUCUCAUAAAACUGAGUGUGAAGCCCGGGUUCAACGUUAUAUUCUUUUUUUUACAUUUUAUCCAAAGCUAAUGACUGUUAUGUUCACUCUUACAGAUUUUAAAGAGUUGCUGUGGACUGAAAAACGGUGUGGACGCCACCUGCUCAUGACGUCCGCUUCUCGACAAAAAUCAUCAUCUCAGGAAUAUGUAUAAGUAUUAUAGCCAAGUCAUAUAAAAAUUGGUGUCAUACUAUUUAUUAUCCAUUUAUUUAAAGUGAUUCUGAGGCAAGCGCUUUGAAUCUUAUCUGAGGGAAAGAUCUACAGUCACAAUUAAGCAAAAAACAACGGUAAAUGGCA